GGAUCGAUGAUGACAACAGGUUUCUGAGGACGCUGAUUGACUCAAACAUAACCCCUCUGAGGUCC
This is a small nucleolar RNA of Chionomys nivalis (European snow vole), 65 nucleotides long. RefSeq annotates it as small nucleolar RNA SNORD109A. Lineage: Eukaryota; Metazoa; Chordata; Mammalia; Rodentia; Cricetidae. The transcript has a single exon. The record is from RefSeq and is a predicted model, not a curated record.